UAGGGAAUCUUCCGCAAUGGACGCAAGUCUGACGGAGCAACGCCGCGUGAGUGAAGAAGGUUUUCGGAUCGUAAAACUCUGUUGUCGGAGAAGAACAAGCGGGCGAGGAACUGCGCCCGCCGUGACGGUAUCCGACCAGAAAGCCACGGCUAACUACGUGCCAGCAGCCGCGGUAAUACGUAGGUGGCGAGCGUUGUCCGGAUUUAUUGGGCGUAAAGCGAGCGCAGGCGGUCCCUUAAGUCUGAUGUGAAAGCCCACGGCUCAACCGUGGAGGGCCAUUGGAAACUGGGGGGCUUGAGUGCAGGAGAGGAGAGUGGAAUUCCAUGUGUAGCGGUGAAAUGCGUAGAUAUAUGGAGGAACACCAGUGGCGAAGGCGACUCUCUGGCCUGUAACUGACGCUGAGGCUCGAAAGCGUGGGGAGCGAACAGG
RNAcentral lists this ribosomal RNA (429 nucleotides) under uncultured prokaryote. Its description in RNAcentral is "bacterial SSU rRNA". It matches the Rfam family "Bacterial small subunit ribosomal RNA", at positions 355 to 776 of the family's 1533-position model. The record is from RNAcentral. RNAcentral also lists the same sequence under 1 other name.